AGUGAACGCUGGCGGUAGGCCUAACACAUGCAAGUCGAACGGCAGCACAGUAAGAGCUUGCUCUUACGGGUGGCGAGUGGCGGACGGGUGAGGAAUACAUCGGAAUCUACUUUUUCGGGGGGGAUAACGUAGGGAAACUUACGCUAAUACCGCAUACUACCUACGGGUGAAAGCAGGGGAUCUUCGGACCUUGCGCGAUUGAAUGAGCCGAUGUCGGAUUAGCUAGUUGGCGGGGUAAAGGCCCACCAAGGCGACGAUCCGUAGCUGGUCUGAGAGGAUGAUCAGCCACACUGGAACUGAGACACGGUCCAGACUCCUACGGGAGGCAGCAGUGGGGAAUAUUGGACAAUGGGCGCAAGCCUGAUCCAGCCAUACCGCGUGGGUGAAGAAGGCCUUCGGGUUGUAAAGCCCUUUUGUUGAGAAAGAAAAGCAGCAGGUUAAUACCCCGCUGUUCUGACGGUACCCAAAGAAUAAGCACCGGCUAACUUCGUG
This 492-nucleotide ribosomal RNA is filed under the name uncultured bacterium. Its description in RNAcentral is "partial 16S ribosomal RNA". It matches the Rfam family "Bacterial small subunit ribosomal RNA", at positions 29 to 507 of the family's 1533-position model. The record is from RNAcentral.